RNAcentral lists this transfer RNA (91 nucleotides) under Ophiostoma piceae UAMH 11346. It matches the Rfam family "tRNA". Rfam says of the family: Transfer RNA (tRNA) molecules are approximately 80 nucleotides in length. Their secondary structure includes four short double-helical elements and three loops (D, anti-codon, and T loops). Lineage: Eukaryota; Fungi; Ascomycota; Sordariomycetes; Ophiostomatales; Ophiostomataceae. The record is from Rfam by way of RNAcentral.
GGGAUCGUGGCGCAGUUGGCUAGCGCGUAGGUCUCAUAAUCACAUAUGUGCCUAUAUCCUAAGGUCGUGAGUUCGAGCCUCACCGAUCCCA